GACGAACGCUGGCGGCGUGCUUAACACAUGCAAGUCGAACGGAAAGGCCCUGCUUUUGUGGGGUGCUCGAGUGGCGAACGGGUGCGUAACACGUGAGUAACCUGCCCUUGACUUUCGGGUAAGUUCAGGAAACUGGGGCUACUACCGUAUAGGAUACCCUGCUGCAUGGUGGGGGUUGGAACGUCGCGGCGGUUGGGGUUGGAUGCGCGGCUUAUCAGCUUGCUGGUGGGCUAGUGGCUUACCAAGGAUUUGACGGAUAGCCGGCCUGUGAGGGUGACCGGGCACCAUGGGACUGAGAUACGGCCCAGUCUCCUAUGGGAGGCAGCAGUGGGGAAUAUUGCACAAUGGGCGGAAGCCGGAUGCAGCAACGCCGCGUGCGGGAUGACGGCCUUCGGGUUGUAAACCGCUUUCGCCUGUGACGAAGCGUGAGUGACGGUAAUGGGUAAAGAAGCACCGGCUAACUACGUG
This 468-nucleotide ribosomal RNA is filed under the name uncultured bacterium. Its description in RNAcentral is "partial 16S ribosomal RNA". It matches the Rfam family "Bacterial small subunit ribosomal RNA", at positions 28 to 507 of the family's 1533-position model. The record is from RNAcentral.